RNAcentral lists this long non-coding RNA (1041 nucleotides) under Equus caballus (horse). RNAcentral describes it as "lncRNA (ENSECAG00000055854.1)". The record is from RNAcentral. Lineage: Eukaryota; Metazoa; Chordata; Mammalia; Perissodactyla; Equidae.
GAGGUGAAUAACUCUUAAUGAGCAAGCUGAACAUGUCAGUAGGUGAAAGAUACUUUCCACAGUAUUGGUCUGAAGCUGGCUUUUUAAGCUGAUGAAGGAUGCCCUCCAUGUACUCUGAUAAUGACUCUGUGGUGCUUCUUCCAAAACAAAAGGUCUUUGGUGGAGAAUGGGUUAGGGCAAAAUCAUAGUGAGUGAUUACUCCCAGACAGCGGCUGAAGGCAGGAUGUUAAAGAUGCCCUAUGGUGAGCAAGAAUAAUAAGCAUUUGAAUAAACAUGAAAAGAAUGUCUAAGGACACUCCUACUUGGUAUGGAGGUAAGUCUGCAGGAGAUGGCAUGAUACCCUUGCAGAGAGUCAUAGGAAUAGAGUGAGGAAGAAGACUUCUGUGUGACAGCAGCCUUUCUUGUUCCCCAUGAUCAGAACAUACUUCUGAACCAACCCUGAGAGGAAGAGCUGAAUUGGGAAGAGUGUUGCCUAUAUCUACACCAUAGGACAUAUCUAGAUGAUGUAUGGAAAUUUUAGCCAAAGCAUUGGAAGUUUAUUUCAAUUUCUGAAUUAUUGUUGUCAUGCGAAUAAGAUGAAUUUUUGGGGUGACUUUGUCUGUUUUUAGCUCUUUAUUUCAUAUCACAGAGGCACCGUCGUUGUAAAAUAAAAAACAGCAGGCUAUGGCUAUAGAUUGGUAUGGCAAAGGAAGGAUUAAAAUGAGUCGAAUAGAGCUCCAGUGUUUCUUUCAUGGGAGUUCACUGAUAGUGUCCACAGUGAGAAGAAACCCUGGCACAGGCAUGGAGGUGCAUAGAUAGGGCUUACAUUCAGUUGUCCUGGGCAUUCAGUUUUGAGUAAGAUUUGGUGGGACUGACCAAAUUAUUGAUGUUCUACAUCUGUUCUAUAGAGUCCCUUUGUUCUAAGGAGUUCUUCUGGGGGCACUCUGAGGGCGAAGAUGAUGGACAAGCCAAGUGGGUAGAGAUCCAGACCCUCCAUCUUCCUCCAUCCCACCCCUGACUUCUCCAUUCAACCACAGAACCUUUCCCUCCUUUUAGAAAAAA